CGGAUCGGCGGCCUUUUCCUUGCCCACCGCCGCCUCUUGCAGGCCCCGCCGCCUUUGUCUGCUUCCCGGAGCCACUGAGCUGAUUGGGCGGCGGAGGACGCGGGCCCCGGCGCGGCCGGCGUGUCCCGGCUGCGAGGGCCACGGCAUCCGCGAGUUGCCAAGGUCACGGAGGCUUCGGGGAGCUAUGAGGCCGCUCCUGAGCACCCAUACCUGGCCCUCGGCCCCUUGCAAGAAGUUCAAGUGGGCCGAUGGGGUCCGGUGUCCACCGGUGAGAAACAGCAGCGCACUUUGUGCGAUCCCUGCGAGCCCGCAUGUGUGAUUACCCUCUGUUAAAAGGAUAAAAAGGCAACCUGACAGGUCAUCCUGUGGGAUUUUCAGACUUGAAUACAGCAGAGAUACACCAGCAGACAAGAGCCACUACACUUGUUUGCACCGUUCAGCCACAGCAAAGAUAAAAGUCCCAGAGUCGCGGCUCUUCCCCAGGUUGCUGGAUUGUUGGCAUGUCCAGGAGAUGUGGAUGUGCUACACACAUUGGCUGUGCCCUGUGCAUAGUCAAGUGCUCUGAAAGAAACCCAGGCAACUUCCUUGUCCUGCCUGGCUCAGGAAAUGUGGACACAGAAUCAUGAGGAGCGAGCAGGACAUUGGGGUGUGUGGAGAGAAAAGAGGGCUGACCAACAUGGCCUC
Lepidothrix coronata (blue-crowned manakin) is the source of this 684-nucleotide long non-coding RNA. RefSeq lists it as uncharacterized. The transcript is spliced from 3 exons. The record is from RefSeq and is a predicted model, not a curated record. Lineage: Eukaryota; Metazoa; Chordata; Aves; Passeriformes; Pipridae.